CCUGGUAAUAACCUGAGACAUUACCUGGUUAUAACGUGGUUAUAAACCACGUUAUAACCAGGUAAUGUCUCAGGUUAUAACGAGG
Non-coding RNA from Xyrichtys novacula (pearly razorfish), 85 nucleotides. The record is from the annotation of a GenBank genome assembly. NCBI's taxonomy places the organism in Eukaryota, Metazoa, Chordata, Actinopteri, Labriformes, Labridae.